UCUUCGGAGAGUUUGAUCCUGGCUCAGGAUGAACGCUGGCGGCGUGCCUAAUACAUGCAAGUCGAGCGAACUGAUUAGAAGCUUGCUUCUAUGACGUUAGCGGC
Molecule: ribosomal RNA, 104 nt
Filed under: Priestia megaterium
Lineage: Bacteria; Bacillati; Bacillota; Bacilli; Caryophanales; Bacillaceae
Also listed under: 2 other names
Description: partial 16S ribosomal RNA
Rfam family: Bacterial small subunit ribosomal RNA
Source: RNAcentral